UACAGAGACUGCGAGCGUUAUUCGGAUUCACUGGGCGUAAAGGGUGCGUAGGCGGCCGUGUGUGUGAGGCGUGAAAGCCCGGGGCUUAACCCCGGAAGUGCAUUGGAUACUGGGAAGCUAGAGGGUGUAAGAGGAGAGUGGAAUUCAUGGUGUAGGGGUGAAAUCCGUAGAUAUCAUGAGGAACAUCAGUGGCGAAGGCGGCUCUCUGGUACACUUCUGACGCUCAGACGCGAAAGCAUGGGGAGCAAACAGG
Molecule: ribosomal RNA, 253 nt
Filed under: uncultured bacterium
Lineage: Bacteria
Description: partial 16S ribosomal RNA
Rfam family: Bacterial small subunit ribosomal RNA
Source: RNAcentral